CUGUACGAGUUUGAUCCUGGCUCAGGAUGAACGCUAGCGGCAGGCUUAAUACAUGCAAGUCGUGGGGCAGCAUGGGGUAGCAAUACUCUGAUGGCGACCGGCAAACGGGUGCGGAACACGUACGCAACCUUCCCAAAACUGGUGAAUAGCCCUCCGAAAGGAGGAUUAAUACACCGUAACAUAACGAAGUGGCAUCACUUUGUUAUUAUAGCUCCGGCGGUUUUGGAUGGGCGUGCGCCUGAUUAGGUAGUUGGCGGGGUAACGGCCCACCAAGCCUACGAUCAGUAACUGGUGUGAGAGCACGACCAGUCACACGGGCACUGAGACACGGGCCCGACUCCUACGGGAGGCAGCAGUAAGGAAUAUUGGUCAAUGGACGCAAGUCUGAACCAGCCAUGCCGCGUGAAGGAUGAAGGUCCUCUGGAUUGUAAACUUCUUUUAUCUGGGACGAAAAAAGGGCUUUCUAGCUCACUUGACGGUACCAGAGGAAUAAGCACCGGCUAACUCCGUG
This 511-nucleotide ribosomal RNA is filed under the name uncultured bacterium. Its description in RNAcentral is "bacterial SSU rRNA". It matches the Rfam family "Bacterial small subunit ribosomal RNA", at positions 1 to 507 of the family's 1533-position model. The record is from RNAcentral.